This 452-nucleotide ribosomal RNA is filed under the name uncultured bacterium. Its description in RNAcentral is "bacterial SSU rRNA". It matches the Rfam family "Bacterial small subunit ribosomal RNA", at positions 29 to 524 of the family's 1533-position model. The record is from RNAcentral.
AGCGAACGCUGGCGGCAGGCUUAACACAUGCAAGUCGAGCGGGCGUAGCAAUACGUCAGCGGCAGACGGGUGAGUAACGCGUGGGAACGUACCUUUGGUUCGGAACAACACAGGGAAACUUGUGCUAAUACCGGAUAAGCCCUUACGGGGAAAGAUUUAUCGCCGAAAGAUCGGCCCGCGUCUGAUUAGCUUGUUGGUGAGGUAACGGCUCACCAAGGCGACGAUCAGUAGCUGGUCUGAGAGGAUGAUCAGCCACAUUGGGACUGAGACACGGCCCAAACUCCUACGGGAGGCAGCAGUGGGGAAUAUUGGACAAUGGGGGGAAACCCUGAUCCAGCCAUGCCGCGUGAGUGAUGAAGGCCCUAGGGUUGUAAAGCUCUUUUGUGCGGGAAGAUAAUGACGGUACCGCAAGAAUAAGCCCCGGCUAACUUCGUGCCAGCAGCCGCGGUAAU